ACUCAAAUGAAUAGACGGGGGCCCGCACAAGCGGAGGAACAUGUGGUUUAAUUCGAUGAUACGCGAGGAACCUUACCCGGGCUUGAAAUGCAUCUGACCGGGCCGGAAACGGUCUUUCCCAGCGAUGGGCAGAUGUGUAGGUGCUGCAUGGUUGUCGUCAGCUCGUGCCGUGAGGUGUCGGCUUAAGUGCCAUAACGAGCGCAACCCUCAUCGUCAGUUACCAUCGGGUAAAGCCGGGGACUCUGAGGAGACUGCCAUCGUAAGAUGCGAGGAAGGUGGGGAUGACGUCAAAUCAGCACGGCCCUUAUGUCCGGGGCGACACACGUGUUACAAUGGGCGGUACAGCGGGGAGCUACCCGGCGACGGGGAGCCGAUCCCGAAAGCCGCUCACAGUUCGGAUCGGAGUCUGCAACUCGACUCCGUGAAGGCGGAUUCGCUAGUAAUCGCGCAUCAGCCACGGCGCGGUGAAUACGUUCCCGGGCCUUGUACACACCGCCCGU
Molecule: ribosomal RNA, 500 nt
Filed under: uncultured bacterium
Lineage: Bacteria
Description: bacterial SSU rRNA
Rfam family: Bacterial small subunit ribosomal RNA
Source: RNAcentral